Long non-coding RNA from Magnolia sinica, 1612 nucleotides. RefSeq lists it as uncharacterized. The transcript is spliced from 3 exons. Lineage: Eukaryota; Viridiplantae; Streptophyta; Magnoliopsida; Magnoliales; Magnoliaceae. The record is from RefSeq and is a predicted model, not a curated record.
AUUACGAGACCACACAGAUAUGGAUAUUCGAAAGUUCACUUUAUAUUGUGGCUUGUCGAUUUGAUGCUUGUGAUGCUAUAUGUGGCACUUUAAACUGUAGAAAUGUUGUGGUCAUGUUUGGAGGUGGGCGUUAGUUCCAUAACUCUCUGCUCCUCCAUGUGAUAUGAAUGUUUUAGUUCAUACAUUAUAAAAAGGACAGGACUGCAGUUAUAGUUGACCACAUUUUCGAAAUGGUGGUCAGUAAUUCACAAGAGUUGUACAUGUGCGGCAUCCCAUUGUAUUAAAAUCUUGGCCCCACUGUGGAUUGAACAUUCCACAAAAGUUAUACUGAUCAAACCAUCCCUAACCAUCCGACUAGUGACUAUCAAGUGGAUGGUUAAAAAUAAAAUGGUGAACUGUCCCAAUUCAGCAGUCUAAAUUGCUUAGUUAAGAUAGUCAAUUUUCUGGCUAUGCUCCAUACACAUUGGGGCCGAUGGAUUGGAAAGUCUGGAUUUUCAUGUACGCAUACGAUUUUUAUGGUGGAUGAGUCAGCACCUGAAUCUAGCCCUCCACUGCAUGAGAUUUCAAGCUUUGACAAAGUGGGAGCAGCACUAGAUGACGGAAAGUGGUGAUAUUAUCAAUCAUAAAGCAGAGUAUUGAUGAGUUACUCUGUAGUUGAGGUUUUUGUGCAGUGUUGCUGCUACUGCUUUACUAAGUAGUAUCAUACUCACUGCUUGCGCUGUUGGCUCAUCGAAACUUUUUACUCGAAAUGCAAACAAGAAAGAUAAGGCAGCUAGAUAGAAAGAUUUCACAGUUUAUUCAGCUCCGUAUGCCAAAAUGCUAGAAUUAUGGAAAUAGCAAAUAUUCGUUCUGAUCCUAUUAAUCUUCAGAGAAGUAAUAUUAUGCUCGAGUCAAUAACUCGUAUGCCCUUUUUUUCCUAUUGACGCUCCAGUUUUGUUAUCUCUUUGAAAACAUGUCCUUCAGAAUUUUCUGUGCAAAUAGGUUACAAUCCAUGCCACUGUAACUUGCAGGUGACACUGAGCCUGUGAAAAUGUUUGAGCGAACGGCAAAUCUGUUGAACAAUCAAAUCAUCAAUUACUGAUCCUUCCAAGAAAUGGCUUGUUUUGAUUGGCAUUGCUCCUGGUGCACCUGAGAGGCCACAACUUGUUAAGGGGAACAUGCAACUGUUUUCCGUAGACCAGCAACAUAGUCAAGCUUUAGAAGCACAUGCGGCAGCCUUUGCAACGUUUAAAGUUGGUGGAAAUGAGAAUCCUUCUACUCUUAUUUGCUUCGCAUCAAAGACCAUGAAUGCCGGUCAAAUUAUUUCUAAGUUGCAUGUCAUCGAACUCGGUGCUCAGCCAGGUCAUUGCUUAUUUUAGAAACAGUAGAUGAUGAGAGUAUUAGCGUGUUGGAAGUACCUAGCUAGUGCAUGAAGGCAAUAUGAUGUUAGAAGAUUUCCUCACCCCAACUGAGAUGAAAGAUCAACUCACAAACCUUGCUAGAGUAGUAGAGCUGGUUGUUGUUAUUUAUUUAUUUAUAUUCAAAACCAUUUUCAAUUUAUUGUAAUAAAUAUUAUAUUUUUUUUAUUGUCUAGUAAUAUAAAUUUUGUUUAAUAUUCAGUUUUAUUUGUAUG